CCUACGGGUGGCUGCAGUGGGGAAUAUUGGACAAUGGGCGAAAGCCUGAUCCAGCCAUGCCGCGUGUGUGAAGAAGGCCUUCGGGUUGUAAAGCACUUUCAGUGGGGAAGAAAGCCUUGGGGCUAAUACCCUCGAGGAAGGACAUCACCCACAGAAGAAGCACCGGCUAACUCCGUGCCAGCAGCCGCGGUAAUACGGAGGGUGCGAGCGUUAAUCGGAAUUACUGGGCGUAAAGCGCGCGUAGGCGGUCUGAUAAGCCGGUUGUGAAAGCCCCGGGCUCAACCUGGGAACGGCAUCCGGAACUGUCAGGCUAGAGUGCAGGAGAGGAAGGUAGAAUUCCCGGUGUAGCGGUGAAAUGCGUAGAGAUCGGGAGGAAUACCAGUGGCGAAGGCGGCCUUCUGGACCGACACUGACGCUGAGGUGCGAAAGCGUGGGUAGCAAACAGGAUUAGAUACCCUUGUAGUC
This 465-nucleotide ribosomal RNA is filed under the name Vreelandella stevensii. RNAcentral describes it as "partial 16S ribosomal RNA". It matches the Rfam family "Bacterial small subunit ribosomal RNA", at positions 338 to 795 of the family's 1533-position model. The record is from RNAcentral. Lineage: Bacteria; Pseudomonadati; Pseudomonadota; Gammaproteobacteria; Oceanospirillales; Halomonadaceae.